RNAcentral lists this ribosomal RNA (468 nucleotides) under uncultured bacterium. Its description in RNAcentral is "partial 16S ribosomal RNA". It matches the Rfam family "Bacterial small subunit ribosomal RNA", at positions 28 to 507 of the family's 1533-position model. The record is from RNAcentral.
GACGAACGCUGGCGGCGUGCUUAACACAUGCAAGUCGAACGGAAAGGCCCUGCUUUUGUGGGGUGCUCGAGUGGCGAACGGGUGAGUAACACGUGAGUAACCUGCCCUUGACUUUGGGAUAACUUCAGGAAACUGGGGCUAAUACCGGAUAGGAGCUCCUGCUGCAUGGUGGGGGUUGGAAAGUUUCGGCGGUUGGGGAUGGACUCGCGGCUUAUCAGCUUGUUGGUGGGGUAGCGGCUUACCAAGGCUUUGACGGGUAGCCGGCCUGAGAGGGUGACCGGCCACAUUGGGACUGAGAUACGGCCCAGACUCCUACGGGAGGCAGCAGUGGGGAAUAUUGCACAAUGGGCGGAAGCCUGAUGCGGCAACGCCGCGUGCGGGAUGACGGCCUUCGGGUUGUAAACCGCUUUCGCCUGUGACGAAGCGUGAGUGACGGUAAUGGGUAAAGAAGCACCGGCUAACUACGUG